CAGUCGCCGCGGUAAUACGUAGGGUGCAAGCGUUGUCCGGAAUUAUUGGGCGUAAAGAGCUCGUAGGCGGUUUGUCGCGUCUGCUGUGAAAUCUGGGGGCUCAACUCCCAGCCUGCAGUGGGUACGGGCAGACUAGAGUGCGGUAGGGGAGAUUGGAAUUCCUGGUGUAGCGGUGGAAUGCGCAGAUAUCAGGAGGAACACCGAUGGCGAAGGCAGAUCUCUGGGCCGUAACUGACGCUGAGGAGCGAAAGCAUGGGGAGCGAACAGGAUUAGAUACCCCCGUAGUCCCUGUCUCUUAUAC
RNAcentral lists this ribosomal RNA (301 nucleotides) under uncultured bacterium. RNAcentral describes it as "partial 16S ribosomal RNA". It matches the Rfam family "Bacterial small subunit ribosomal RNA", at positions 509 to 807 of the family's 1533-position model. The record is from RNAcentral.